Molecule: RNA transcript, 1107 nt
Organism: Apis mellifera (honey bee)
Lineage: Eukaryota; Metazoa; Arthropoda; Insecta; Hymenoptera; Apidae
Gene: Naa40
Gene name: N-alpha-acetyltransferase 40
Exons: 5
Source: RefSeq, a predicted model, not a curated record
AAAUUUUAGAAUAAUUUCAAUAUUUUUACCUUAUAUAAAUUGCAUUGAUUAAUUUUAUAUGAUAAUCGUAGAAAAAAGAAUAUAGCCUAAAAUCAUAGUUUUAUAUACGCGGGAAAUAUAAUUAUUAUGAAGAAAAGAAAAACAAGACGUCAACUUUUGAUAGAAAAAGAAGCUAUUGCAAAAAACUUAGUUGAUAAAGCCAACUCUGUGAAAAAUCCUAUAGAACAUCUACAUUUCUUUCAUAAAUAUAUAACAAAAGAUAAUGAAAUUAUAGAACUUUCUUGUAUGAGAGCCAAAGAUGCAGAUUCUAAAUGUAUAUCUUGGAUAUUUGAUAUUAUGGAGCGUAAUAUGAAAUCUUUAUAUGAACAAAGUAAUUGGGGUUGGGAUCCAAUUGCUAAGCAAAAAGAAUUAACAGAAUCAACAGCUUGGUAUUUAAUUGCAUCAUCUAAUGAUAAAUUUGUUGGAUUUUCUCAUUUUCGAUUUGAUGUUGAUUAUAGAGAAGAAGUAUUAUAUUGUUAUGAAAUACAAUUAGAAUACACAAUACGAAGGAAAGGACUUGGCCAUUUUAUGAUGUUUGCACUUGAAUCUAUGGCAUCAGAAAAUAAGAUGCGUAAAGUAAUUUUAACUGUAUUUAAACAUAAUCCAUCUGCUAUGCAUUUUUUUUAUUCUCUUGGCUAUAAGAUAGAUAAAACCAGUCCACCAGCAUCAGAUCAAUUGGAUUAUAUUAUUUUGAGUAAAGCCGUUGAUAGUGGAACAAUGAAUAAAAAACAAAGUUCAUUUCAGUAAUUCCAUGAUAUUAUUAAAUUCUAUGUCUAAGAUUGUGUCUUAUGUAAUAAAAUUGGUAAUAUUUGAUGUGGACAUAAGUUAACAAUAGGUGAUUUCAAUGAAGGCCCUACAUUAUGGAAUGUCAAAGGAGCUUUACUAAUGAUCCAAUCAUCUAUAUAAUUAAGGAACUUUGUUAAAUCAACUUCUACAGAUUCAGAAACAUUAAAAUGACGAAAGUCGUAACGAAGUGGAGAAAAAUAUGGAUUUAAAUUAAAAGUUAAAGAAUUAUGUGGAUGCAUUGCAAUUAUAGGAUAUAAUAAUUCUUCUGAUGUUAAAUGACCA